AGGCUGCAACCCGCCUGCAUGAAGCCGGAAUCGCUAGUAAUCGCGGAUCAGAAUGCCGCGGUGAAUACGUUCCCGGGUCUUGUACACACCGCCCGUCACACCAUGGGAGUCGAUAACGCCCGAAGUCAGUGACCCAACCGAAAGGAGGGAGCUGCCGAAGGCGGGAUGGAUAACUGGGGUGAAGUCGUAACAAGGUACC
Molecule: ribosomal RNA, 199 nt
Filed under: uncultured bacterium
Lineage: Bacteria
Description: partial 16S ribosomal RNA
Rfam family: Bacterial small subunit ribosomal RNA
Source: RNAcentral